GCAGGAUUGGCGAAAUUGGCAGACGCGCUAGAUUUAGGUUCUAGUGAGUAAUCGUAUGGGUUCGAGUCCCAUAUCCUGCACCA
This 83-nucleotide transfer RNA is filed under the name Caudoviricetes sp. RNAcentral's name for it is "tRNA-Leu". It matches the Rfam family "tRNA". Rfam says of the family: Transfer RNA (tRNA) molecules are approximately 80 nucleotides in length. Their secondary structure includes four short double-helical elements and three loops (D, anti-codon, and T loops). Lineage: Duplodnaviria; Heunggongvirae; Uroviricota; Caudoviricetes. The record is from RNAcentral.